This 73-nucleotide transfer RNA is filed under the name Bacteroidota bacterium. RNAcentral describes it as "Bacteroidetes bacterium (marine metagenome) tRNA-Ile". It matches the Rfam family "tRNA". From Rfam's summary of the family: Transfer RNA (tRNA) molecules are approximately 80 nucleotides in length. Their secondary structure includes four short double-helical elements and three loops (D, anti-codon, and T loops). Lineage: Bacteria; Pseudomonadati; Bacteroidota. The record is from RNAcentral. RNAcentral also lists the same sequence under 2 other names.
GGGCCCGUAGCUCAGUGGUUAGAGCAGGGGACUCAUAAUCCCUUGGUCGCAGGUUCAAAUCCUGCUGGGCCCA